CUAGUUGGCGAGGUAACGGCUCACCAAGGCAACGACGGGUAGCUGGUCUGAGAGGAUGGCCAGCCACAUUGGGACUGAGAUACGGCCCAGACUCCUACGGGAGGCAGCAGUGGGGAAUCUUGCGCAAUGGCCUAACGGCUGACGCAGCGACGCCGCGUGUGGGAUGAAGCUCCUCGGAGCGUAAACCACUGUUGCCCGGGACGAAUAGCUCGAUUAAUCGAGCCUGACGGUACCGGGUGAGGAAGCACCGGCUAACUCCGUGCCAGCAGCCGCGGUAAUACGGGGGGUGCGAGCGUUGUCCGGAAUCACUGGGCGUAAAGGGCGCGUAGGUGGUUUGAUAAGGGUGUGGUGAAAGUCCGGGGCUCAACCCCGGAUCUGCCGUGCCGACUGUCAAACUCGAGGGCUGUAGAGGCAGACGGAAUUCCGGGUGUAGCGGUGGAAUGCGUAGAGAUCCGGAGGAAGACCGGUGGCGAAGGCGGUCUGCUGGGCAGUUUCUGACACUGAUGCGCGACAGCGUGGGGAGCAAACAGGAUUAGAUACCCUGGUAGUCCACGCCGUAAACGAUGGGUACUAGGUGCCUGGGGGAGCGACCCUCUGGGUGCCGGCGCUAACGCAGGAAGUACCCCGCCUGGGGAGUACGACCGCAAGGUUGAAACUCAAAGGAAUUGACG
RNAcentral lists this ribosomal RNA (671 nucleotides) under uncultured Gemmatimonadota bacterium. RNAcentral describes it as "SSU rRNA". It matches the Rfam family "Bacterial small subunit ribosomal RNA", at positions 245 to 915 of the family's 1533-position model. Lineage: Bacteria; Pseudomonadati; Gemmatimonadota. The record is from RNAcentral.